RNAcentral lists this ribosomal RNA (406 nucleotides) under uncultured bacterium. Its description in RNAcentral is "partial 16S ribosomal RNA". It matches the Rfam family "Bacterial small subunit ribosomal RNA", at positions 29 to 526 of the family's 1533-position model. The record is from RNAcentral.
AUUGAACGCUGGCGGCAGGCCUAACACAUGCAAGUCGAACGAGUGGCGGACGGGUGAGUAAUGUCUGGGAAACUGCCCGUUGGAGGGGGAUAACUACUGGAAACGGUAUCUUAUACCGCCUACCCUCGGAUGUACCCAGAUGGGAUGAUCUAGUAGGGGGGGUAAAGGCUCACCUGGGCGAAGAUCCCUAGCUGGUUGGAGAGGAUGACCGGCCACACUGGAAGGGGUACCGGCUCAGGAUUCUUACGGAAGGAAGAGGUGGGAAUGAUUCCACAAGGGGCGCAAGCCUGAGGCGGACAUGCGGCGGGGAGGAAGAGGUCCUUCGGGUUGUAAAGUACGUUCAGCGGGGAGGCGUUACCCGAAGAGGAAGCACCGGCUAACUCCGUGCCAGCAGCCGCGGUAAUAC